GACGAACGCUGGCGGCGUGCUUAACACAUGCAAGUCGAACGGAAAGGCCCUGCUUUUGUGGGGUGCUCGAGUGGCGAACGGGUGAGUAACACGUGAGUAACCUGCCCUUGACUUUGGGAUAACUUCAGGAAACUGGGGCUAAUACCGGAUAGGAGCUCCUGCUGCAUUGUGGGGGUUGGAAAGUUUCGGCGGUUGGGGAUGGACUCGCGGCUUAUCAGCUUGUUGGUGGGGUAGUGGCUUACCAAGGCUUUGACGGGUAGCCGGCCUGAGAGGGUGACCGGCCACAUUGGGACUGAGAUACGGCCCAGACUCCUACGGGAGGCAGCAGGGGGGAAUAUUGCACAAUGGGCGGAAGCCUGAUGCAGCAACGCCGCGUGCGGGAUGACGGCCUUCGGGCUGUAAACCGCUUUCGCCUGUGACGAAGCGUGAGUGACGGUAAUGGGUAAAGAAGCACCGGCUAACUACGUG
RNAcentral lists this ribosomal RNA (468 nucleotides) under uncultured bacterium. RNAcentral describes it as "partial 16S ribosomal RNA". It matches the Rfam family "Bacterial small subunit ribosomal RNA", at positions 28 to 507 of the family's 1533-position model. The record is from RNAcentral.